RNAcentral lists this ribosomal RNA (594 nucleotides) under Aschersonia sp. JOWM-48. RNAcentral describes it as "SSU rRNA". It matches the Rfam family "Bacterial small subunit ribosomal RNA", at positions 228 to 833 of the family's 1533-position model. The record is from RNAcentral. RNAcentral also lists the same sequence under 1 other name. Lineage: Eukaryota; Fungi; Ascomycota; Sordariomycetes; Hypocreales; Clavicipitaceae.
AUUUAUCUUCGGGAUAGGUAGUAGUUAAGGUGAUGGCUUAACUAGCUUAAAAUUCUCGUAGUCGAAGCUGAAAGGUUGAUCGACCACAUUGGGUCUGAAAAAACCCCAAUGCAAGUUAGUACAGCAGUGAGGAAUCUUGGUCAAUGGCCUAACGGCUGAACUGGCAACUUGGAGAAGUGGCAAGUCUUAUUUUUGAUUAUAAUUUUAGAUAAUCUAUAAGAUUGUAUUAAAAUUGAAUAAAACUUUGUUUAUAUAUUGAUAAUGACAAUAUAUAUAUCGUGUCUUGACUAAUUACGUGCCAGCAGUCGCGGUAAUACGUAAGAGACUAGUGUUAUUCAUCUUAAUUAGGUUUAAAGGGUCCCUAGACGGUCAAUAUAGCUUCUAGAAUGUUAGUACUUGACUAGAGUUUGAUGUAAGGGGGCAGUACUUGAGGAGGAGAGAUGAAAUUCUAUUAUACCAAAGGGACUCGGUAAAGGCGAAGGCAGCCCUUUAUGUAAAAACUGACGUUGAAGGACGAAGGCACAGAGCACAAACAGGAUUAGAUACCCAAGUAGUCUUUGCAGUAAAUGAUGAAUGCCAUAGGUUAGAUUAAAU